RNAcentral lists this ribosomal RNA (253 nucleotides) under uncultured bacterium. Its description in RNAcentral is "partial 16S ribosomal RNA". It matches the Rfam family "Bacterial small subunit ribosomal RNA", at positions 524 to 776 of the family's 1533-position model. The record is from RNAcentral.
UACGAAGGGGGCUAGCGUUGCUCGGAAUUACUGGGCGUAAAGCGCUCGCAGGUGGUUCGUCGCGUCGUGCGUGAAAGACCCCGGCUCAACUGGGGAGUGUCGUGCGAUACGGGCGGACUGGAGGCCAGUAGGGGGAUGCGGAAUUCCGGGUGUAGUGGUGGAAUGCGUAGAGAUCCGGAGGAACACCAGCGGCGAAGGCGGCAUCCUGGACUGGUCCUGACACUCAUGAGCGAAAGCGUGGGGAGCGAUCCGG